UGGAGGAAGGGGGGGAAGGCGUCAAAUCAUCAUGCCCCCUAUGGCCUGGGGUACCCACGUGCUACAAUGGACAGAACAAAGGGCAGGGAAACCGCGAGGUUAAGCCAAUCCCACAAAUCUGUUUUCAGUUCGGAUCGCAGUUUGCAAAUUGAAUGCGUGAAGCUGGAAUCGCUAGUAAUCGCGGAUCAGCAUGCCGCGGUGAAUACGUUCCCGGGCCUUGUACACACCGCCCGUCACACCCCGAGAGUUUGUAACACCCGAAGUCGGGAGGUAACCUUUAGCACCCCCU
Molecule: ribosomal RNA, 289 nt
Filed under: Bacillus subtilis
Lineage: Bacteria; Bacillati; Bacillota; Bacilli; Caryophanales; Bacillaceae
Description: partial 16S ribosomal RNA
Rfam family: Bacterial small subunit ribosomal RNA
Source: RNAcentral